Molecule: non-coding RNA, 1958 nt
Organism: Saimiri boliviensis boliviensis (Bolivian squirrel monkey)
Lineage: Eukaryota; Metazoa; Chordata; Mammalia; Primates; Cebidae
Source: RefSeq, a predicted model, not a curated record
UUAAAGGGAAAGCUCACUUGGUGGUUUACAUUAAGGCAUGUGAUGGAAUAGGAGGAAAUUUAUACAAAGCUACCUUACUGGCAUAAGCAAUGGUUCAAAUCAGCAACCGGUGUGGGUACCAUCCAGACCUUUAAAGCUUUCACAGAUGGCUGAGGAAAACCUGAAGAAAGCAGGACAGCCUGUUCUGAGUAACUUGAUGAUAGCCAUGAUGGCAGUUAUCACCAUUACAUCUGCAGGUGCAGAUCCAGAGUCCUCUGAGAAAUAGCUCACCAAGAGAAAAGAUUUCAAGUCUGACUCAGAAUGUGGCAUGACAAUAUGUGACAGUCUUUUGAGGAACAAAUCGCAGUAUCCCCAAAUUGCCCAGGGUAAUCAAUGGCAACUGCCAGAUUGCAUUUGGAUCCAGGACAUUUCUUUGGCUAUGCUGGCUGGUCAUGUAAGAUCUGACAGAACAUGGGAAUGGUUGUAAGUGGCUGGAUAAAAACAAAAUGAAAAUAUGGGUUCCUGUUGAGCUGAAGAAGCUGAUGAGAAUUAUUCUGAAGAAAAAUGGCCACCAAAUUUUAAGUGCUAAUUUAAGAAGGACUGGCUGCUGCUUAGAUUGUUGAGUAUACUGAGUCUAAAUCAUGUAUUUAUGUAAAUUUAAACUCUAGAGUAGUUUUUUAAAAUAUAUCCAUCAUAAAACAGCUGUUUUCACUUGUCAUAGGUGAAACCACCAAAUUUUAAGUGCUAAUUUAAGAAGGACUGGCUGCUGCUUAGAUUGUUGAGUAUACUGAGUCUAAAUCAUGUAUUUAUGUAAAUUUAAACUCUAGAGUAGUUUUUUAAAAUAUAUCCAUCAUAAAACAGCUGUUUUCACUUGUCAUAGGUAAAACUACGGGCAAACAUUUAUGUGCAGGUGUGUUGUAGCAACAGAUCUUGUUAAUAGUGUAAGUGCUUAAGGAAUUUUUAGCACAGAUUCUGUGAGUUAAAAUUAUACUAUGGAAUGGUCAUGAAGCCUGAUUUCAUUCCUCAGCCCCACUGUCCAGUAGAAAAAUGAUUCUGAUUUAGUCUUUGAUAUGUGAUUUAUCUUCUUGGACACACAGAAGUGUUUGCCUUAUGUAGUAAUUAGGGCUUAACAUCUUUUGCCAAGUAAUUUUGUUUUUCUUCUGGAUUACAGUAAAAUUGUGUGGAAAUCAAUUCAAAAAGAAUUUGCUUGAUGCUAGUGCAUGAUGACAAGUGGAGGCAUUGGUAGUUCAUCCUGAAUAAAGGAAGAGAGCCUGUUCCUUAAGCAGAGUCCAUUCUGUCAGUGAAUUACCCCCAUUUCCAAAUGAACAUAAUGCAGUUGGGUCAGGGAGAAUAACAUAGUAGGCUCAGCAUAAUUUCAGUCUCCUCACUUUUCUUGACACCAUAUCCUAACACAAAGUUUUAUUGAAUGUUUACCUAAAAUUUCUCCCACAUUGGUUAGUUUCACUCCCGUGGUUUGAGACUGUGAUAGCAGAUGGGACAAACAAGUGCCUGGCCAUAACUUGAAAAAAAAAUCUGGGGAACAAUCUGUCCACAGGGUCUUUGAAAAGCUCUGAUAUAUUCCUGGUGAUCUAAAAGGUUGGAUAAAUGUGCAAGCUUGGGAAAGACCUGAGAGGGCCCUAGUCUCUCACCUCUGGCUCACUGGAGUUUCCGUGCAAGUAGGAGGUGAAGGCUAAGGCAGAGUUCUAAGCUGCCUGACUGUUGAGGGCAUGUCUUAACACACAUACAUACAUGUGGAGCAUAUCAGCAAAGAAUGGAAUAUUUAUUGGUUCAUGGAAUUUAAGGAAAUCUCUGUCGAAUCAUUAGCUGACCACUAAGCUAAUUGAGCAGAAACUUUAGUGGCUGUACAGUACAGGAAAUAAAGACUAUCAAAUUAGUCCCAGAAGGUCACUAUGCUAACAGAUAUCAGCAGCAGAAACAACAAAACAGCAAUAACAACAAACCCUAAGGGUGCGGGAAAU